Molecule: ribosomal RNA, 280 nt
Filed under: uncultured Staphylococcus sp.
Lineage: Bacteria; Bacillati; Bacillota; Bacilli; Caryophanales; Staphylococcaceae
Description: partial 16S ribosomal RNA
Rfam family: Bacterial small subunit ribosomal RNA
Source: RNAcentral
GUGCCAGCAGCCGCGGUAAUACGUAGGUGGCAAGCGUUAUCCGGAAUUAUUGGGCGUAAAGCGCGCGUAGGCGGUUUUUUAAGUCUGAUGUGAAAGCCCACGGCUCAACCGUGGAGGGUCAUUGGAAACUGGAGAACUUGAGUGCAGAAGAGGAAAGUGGAAUUCCAUGUGUAGCGGUGAAAUGCGCAGAGAUAUGGAGGAACACCAGUGGCGAAGGCGACUUUCUGGUCUGUAACUGACGCUGAUGUGCGAAAGCGUGGGGAUCAAACAGGAUUAGAUA